UCCGUAGGUGAACCUGCGGAAGGAUCAUUACUAGAGCAAAGGAUAGACAGCGCCCGCGGAGCUCGCUCCCGGGGCUACCCUACUCCCGUAGGGUUUAGAGUCGUCGGGCCUCUCGGAGAAGCUCGGUCCUGAACUCCACCCUUGAAUAAAUUACCUUUGUUGCUUUGGCGGGCCGCCUCGUGCCAGCGGCUUCGGCUGUUGAGUGCCCGCCAGAGGACCCCAACUCUUGUUUUUAGUGAUGUCUGAGUACUAUAUAAUAGUUAAAACUUUCAACAACGGAUCUCUUGGUUCUGGCAUCGAUGAAGAACGCAGCGAAAUGCGAUAAGUAAUGUGAAUUGCAGAAUUCAGUGAAUCAUCGAAUCUUUGAACGCACAUUGCGCCCUCUGGUAUUCCGGGGGGCAUGCCUGUUCGAGCGUCAUUAUAACCACUCAAGCUCUCGCUUGGUAUUGGGGUUCGCGGUUUCGCGGCCCCUAAAAUCAGUGGCGGUGCCUGUCGGCUCUACGCGUAGUAAUACUCCUCGCGAUUGAGCCCGGUAGGUCUACUUGCCAGCAACCCUAAUUUUUUAAGGGGGUUGGACCUCCGGGGGAUCAGGGUAGGGGGAUACCC
Molecule: ribosomal RNA, 606 nt
Filed under: uncultured fungus
Lineage: Eukaryota; Fungi
Description: eukaryotic LSU rRNA
Rfam family: 5.8S ribosomal RNA (bases 265-418)
Source: RNAcentral